UACAGAGGGGGCAAGCGUUGUUCGGAAUUACUGGGCGUAAAGGGCGCGUAGGCGGCCUGCUAAGUCGCUCGUGAAAUCCCCGGGCUUAACCCGGGAACUGCGACCGAUACUGGUUGGCUUGAAUUCGGGAGAGGGAUGCAGAAUUCCAGGUGUAGCGGUGAAAUGCGUAGAUAUCUGGAGGAAUACCGGUGGCGAAGGCGGCAUCCUGGACCGACAUUGACGCUGAGGAGCGAAAGCUAGGGGAGCAAACGGG
This 253-nucleotide ribosomal RNA is filed under the name uncultured bacterium. Its description in RNAcentral is "partial 16S ribosomal RNA". It matches the Rfam family "Bacterial small subunit ribosomal RNA", at positions 524 to 776 of the family's 1533-position model. The record is from RNAcentral.